GCGAAAGUUGGACUAAUACCUUAUGUACUCGUUUGAUCUCAUGAGAUUACGAAUAAAGAUUUAUCGGUUAUGGAUGGGGAUGCGUCUGAUUAGCUUGUUGGCGGGGUAACGGCUCACCAAGGCAACGAUCAGUAGGGGUUCUGAGAGGAAGGUCCCCCCACAUUGGAACUGAGACACGGUCCAAACUCCUACGGGAGGCAGCAGAC
RNAcentral lists this ribosomal RNA (206 nucleotides) under uncultured Prevotella sp. RNAcentral describes it as "partial 16S ribosomal RNA". It matches the Rfam family "Bacterial small subunit ribosomal RNA", at positions 151 to 354 of the family's 1533-position model. Lineage: Bacteria; Pseudomonadati; Bacteroidota; Bacteroidia; Bacteroidales; Prevotellaceae. The record is from RNAcentral.